RNAcentral lists this unclassified non-coding RNA (2071 nucleotides) under Octopus sinensis (East Asian common octopus). RNAcentral's name for it is "mitochondrial tRNA methylthiotransferase CDK5RAP1, transcript variant X5". The record is from RNAcentral. Lineage: Eukaryota; Metazoa; Mollusca; Cephalopoda; Octopoda; Octopodidae.
CUUUAUUUUCGGUCGGACAAAAUGUGGCUUUACACCGUGUCAGACUGGCAUGGCUGUCUCCUCUAGUCUUGUCCUUCGUUAUCUCUACUUAAAUGAUGUUAUCUUUCAACCGUUUGUUGUCAACAAAUUAUACCUUCACCACUUGUCUUCGACGAAAAUCCCAACCACAUAUAAGCUCCCAUUAUAGAAAUGUACCGCCCUACAAACGAUGUGUGUCUUCAGUUAAACAUAACGAAAGCUCAUCACCUCGCAAAAGUAACUUUGAAACUUUCAGAGAAAAACUCGUGCACGGACCCAACUUUGAUGACUUCUUAUGCAAUAAUUCAAAUGAAACAAUUAUUAAACAGAACAAUAUCCCUGCAGAAAUAACCAAUGACAUACCUUAUUUACAUAAAUCUCUAUUUAAGGGCCAACGACGUAGAGUUUAUCUUGAAACCUAUGGUUGUCAGAUGAAUGUUAAUGAUACAGAUAUUGUCUGGUCAAUAUUGGAGAAGGAGGAUUUUGAAAGAAGUUUUGAUAUCAAAAAUUGUGAUGUAGCAUUCCUGAUGACCUGUUCUAUUCGAGAGGGAGCUGAAACUAAGAUAUGGAAACGUCUAGAAUACUUGAACUUCUUAAAGAAGAAAAGAAAAAGAAACUCUAUGAAAAUUGGAAUUUUGGGAUGUAUGGCAGAGCGGCUGAAAACCAAGAUUCUGGAACAAAGCAAGGCUGUUGAUAUUGUUUGUGGUCCUGAUGCAUAUCGAGAUCUCCCUCACCUUUUGGCAGUUUCCUAUGAAGGGCAGACUGCAGUGAAUGUUCUAUUGUCUUUGGAAGAAACUUAUGCUGAUAUUAUGCCAGUUCAUGUUAAUAACACCAGUAAAUCUGCUUUUGUGUCAAUCAUGCGUGGUUGUGAUAAUAUGUGUUCCUAUUGCAUUGUGCCCUUUACACGGGGACGAGAACGGAGUAGGCCAGUGGAUUCUAUCCUGGAAGAAAUUCGCAUCUUAUCAGAUCAGGGCAUCAAAGAAGUCACACUUUUGGGUCAGAAUGUGAAUAGUUACCGUGACCUUUCCACAUGGCAAAGUGGUGUUGACCUCAACCCCACGCAGAUGGCAUCAGGCUUUAAAACUGUAUAUAAAUCUAAAAAAGGGGGACUGCGUUUUGCUGACUUAUUGGACAAAGUUGCUUCCAUAAAUCCAGAAAUGCGAAUCCGUUUUACAUCACCUCAUCCAAAGGAUUUCCCAGAUUCAGUGUUGCAGUUAAUCAAAGAAAAGCCCAAUAUUUGCAAACAGAUUCACCUCCCUGCACAAAGUGGUAACAACUUUAUCUUGGAACAGAUGCGACGUGGAUAUACAAGAGAAGCUUACCUUGAUCUUGUUCAUCAUGUUCGUCAUGUGAUUCCAGACAUAAGCCUGUCCAGUGACUUCAUAGCUGGUUUCUGUGGUGAGACAGAGGCAGCUCAUCGUGACACCGUCUCCUUGAUGGAAGAGGUCUGCUACAACUUUGCCUUCACUUUCCCAUACAGUAUGAGGCAGAAAACCCGUGCUCACCAUCGACUCAUUGAUGAUGUCCCCAGUGAGAUUAAAGCCAGGCGACAGGCUGAACUGGCAGAGACAUUUCGCAAAGGAGCUUUAGAACUGAACACACAGCAGAUUGGGCAGUUACAAAUUGUUCUCAUCAGUGGAACGAGUAAGCGGUCUCAACUGGAUCUUGCUGGCCGGAAUGAUGGCAACACAAAAGUUAUUAUACCACAGACCAAAAUACCAAUUUUUGAAGAAGCAGAGCCAACAAGAACAAUAGAAGUGGGUGACUACAUUGUUGUUCGAAUAACUGGUGCCUCUUCUCAAGUGCUGAAAGGUGAACCUCUGUACCACACAACUUUGGUAAACUUCAGCAGAAAACAAACCCCCCAAAGAAUCCAAUAUUGCCACAGUUAAUUGGUCAUUUGCUUGAGUAAUAGGAGUGAAAUCUACAUUUCAACCUCAUCAAUUUGCAGUCAAGAGAACACAACUAAAUCUUUCUCAAGUCAACCCUACCAUCUUAAAACAAAGCAUUUAAUUGUAUAACUUAGAAUACAAUUAAAAAAAAAAAGCAGUGA